GCCUAAGACAUGCAAGUCGUACGAGGAGACCCAUUGAAGUGGAGUGCUGCACAAAGAUGGAUUUGGAUUCUCUCCUAGUGGCGGACGGGUGAGUAACACGUGGGUAAUCUGCCUUUAAGUUGGGGACAACAGUUGGAAACGACUGCUAAUACCGAAUAUGAUAUAGAAAUGAUUUUUCUACAUUGAAAGAUGCCUUUAAAGCAUCGCUUAGAGAUGAGCCUGCGGCGUAUUAGCUUGUUGGUAGGGUAACGGCCUACCAAGGCAAUGAUGCGUAGCCGAACUGAGAGGUUGAUCGGCCACAUUGGGACUGAGACACGGCCCAAACUCCUACGGGAGACAGCAGUUAGGAAUAUUCGUCAAUGGGGGAAACCCUGAACGAGCAAUGCCGCGUGAGUGAUGAAAGGUCCUUUGGAUUGUAAAACUCUGUUGUAUGGGAAGAACACUAAGUAUAGGAAAUGAUGCUUAGCUGACGGUACCAUGCCAGAAAGCCCCGGCUAACUACGUGCCAGCAGCGGC
This 516-nucleotide ribosomal RNA is filed under the name uncultured bacterium. RNAcentral's name for it is "bacterial SSU rRNA". It matches the Rfam family "Bacterial small subunit ribosomal RNA", at positions 46 to 518 of the family's 1533-position model. The record is from RNAcentral.